UUUACUUCCUGACUGCCUGCCAUGUAUGAGAAAACUGCUUGAUUUUCUUGGCAAGGUACAAUAAAUUGUGUCAAGCUCAGAAACUUUGGAAUUGCUUUGAUUUGCUUCAAUGAGGCUCCUGUGAUCACUGGAGAACUGUCCUGUUGGCUUACCAACUCACCAGAUUUGACGUGAUAGCUUGAACCAGUCAUGGAGCAAACAUUUGGUGUGCCAAAAUGAGGAGUCAACUUGGUCUCAUUACCAUGUGAUACCGCCAUGCUCUCCAGUGUGGAUGUCUGAAAAUCAAACUGCCAUGGAUGUGGCUCUUCUUGGACUCUGGAAACAUCUGUUCCAUAACCAGAAGAAAAUGAUUCCCAGUGUUCAGAAGAAAUACUAUGGCCAUGAAUGGCUGAUGCACUAUUUGCUUCCAUGGAAAUCAUUUCAAAGUCUCUGUCAGAAGAACUGAAUGAUUUCCUGCUUUGAUGAAAGUCAGACCAGAAAGAAUGUCCUUUCUGUUGGCUCCAAAAAGGACUUUGUCCAAAUCUCCUCUGUUCUCCGCUUCGUCCAAAGGUUGCUACAAUAUUUCCAGCUGUGUAUACCUCCUGGGAUCAUAAUAGAAAUGAGCCUCUGAAGCAUCUGACUGAAGAAAGCCCAUAUGUUGACUGUCCAGCUGACUGUCUCUUCCCGACUGCUGUACCACACGAUACGGGCCAGGCAAUGGUACUGCCUUUGCAAACUAAAUGUAGUUCCUCAAGGUGAAGCUGGUGGCGAGUUCAGAGUUAACUUUUCAAAUGGCCGGGCUUAUACAGAAUAACCUUUGUAAAAGUGAACUAUGAUCAGAUAGUGAUAAGGUACACGUGCAUUUGGAACGCCACUGCUUUUGGAACCUGUUUCAGUUUUUAUCAUCAUACAAGGUUAAUUGUCUAAUGAAUUAGAUUUUAUCACAGUGUAUUUCGGUCCUAAUCUGGAACAAUAAAAGUCUAUUAAACAGCAAA
Chlorocebus sabaeus (green monkey) is the source of this 974-nucleotide long non-coding RNA. RefSeq lists it as uncharacterized. NCBI's taxonomy places the organism in Eukaryota, Metazoa, Chordata, Mammalia, Primates, Cercopithecidae. The record is from RefSeq and is a predicted model, not a curated record.